This 371-nucleotide ribosomal RNA is filed under the name uncultured bacterium. Its description in RNAcentral is "bacterial SSU rRNA". It matches the Rfam family "Bacterial small subunit ribosomal RNA", at positions 959 to 1329 of the family's 1533-position model. The record is from RNAcentral.
ACGCGAAGAACCUUACCAAGGCUUGACAUAUAGCGAAAAGUGGCAGAGAUGUCAUGUCCGCAAGGGCGCUAUACAGGUGGUGCAUGGUUGUCGUCACCUCGUGUCGUGAGAUGUUGGGUUAAGUCCCGCAACGAGCGCAACCCUCGUUCUGUGUUACCAGCAUUAAGUUGGGGACUCACAGGAGACUGCCGGGGUCAACUCGGAGGAAGGUGGGGAUGACGUCAAAUCAUCAUGCCCCUUAUGUCUUGGGCUUCACGCAUGCUACAAUGGCCGGUACAAAGGGGUGCGAGAUCGUAAGAUUGAGCGAAUCCCAUAAAACCGGUUUCAGUUCGGAUUGAGGUUUGCAACUCGACCUCCUGGAGUUGGGAAUG